GUUAGGAAUAUUGGACAAUGGGCGAAAGCCUGAUCCAGCCAUGCCGCGUGAACGAUGAAGGCCUUCGGGUUGUAAAGUUCUUUAGCCGAUGAUUAUAAUGACUGUAGUUGGAAAAUAAGCCCCGGCUAACUUCGUGCCAGCAGCCGCGGUAAUACGAAGGGGGCGAGCGUUAUUCGGAAUCACUGGGCGUAAAGCGUGCGUAGGCGGUUUUGUAAGUUAGGAGUGAAAGCCAAGGGCUCAACCUUGGAAUUGCUCUUAAAACUGCAAGGCUAGAAUCUCGGAGAGGAUAGCGGAAUUUCCAGUGUAGCAGUGAAAUGCGUAGAUAUUGGAAGGAACACCAGUGGCGUAAGCGGCUAUCUGGACGAGUAUUGACGCUGAGGCACGAAAGCGUGGGGAUCAAACAGGAUUAGAAACCCUGGUAGUCC
This 425-nucleotide ribosomal RNA is filed under the name uncultured bacterium. RNAcentral describes it as "partial 16S ribosomal RNA". It matches the Rfam family "Bacterial small subunit ribosomal RNA", at positions 354 to 796 of the family's 1533-position model. The record is from RNAcentral.